RNAcentral lists this ribosomal RNA (473 nucleotides) under Corbicula sp. UGSB 19576. RNAcentral's name for it is "partial small subunit ribosomal RNA". It matches the Rfam family "Bacterial large subunit ribosomal RNA", at positions 1817 to 2597 of the family's 2925-position model. Lineage: Eukaryota; Metazoa; Mollusca; Bivalvia; Venerida; Cyrenidae. The record is from RNAcentral.
GGCCUUUUGGAGAUUUAUAUAAAAGGUUGGGCCUGCCCGGUGAUCUGAAAUGGUUUAACGGCUGCGAUUGAAACCGUACUAAGGUAGCAUAAUAAUUUGCCCUUUAAUUGGGGGAGAGAAUGAAUGGUUUGACGGUAAAAAAGCUGUUUUAAAAAUAAAAAAAGAAGUUAACUUUUAAGUGAAAAGGCUUAAGUUUUUAUAAAAGACGAGAAGACCCCGUCGAGCUUAAUUAGAAUAACUUAAAUGUAGGUUAUUUAAAAUUUUAUUGGGGCAAUAGAAAAUGAAAUGAAUCAUUUUUUUUAUUAUAAGGAUCCAGUUUUGACUGAAAAAAGCAAAAGCUACCGCGGGGAUAACAGGGUAAUUUUUUCUGAGAGUUCAUAUUUAAGAAGAAGUUUGCUACCUCGAUGUUGGAUUAGAAUUUCUUUAUGCUUGCAGCAGGUAUAAUAGUAGGACUGUUCGUCCUUUAAAAUUUU